GCCUAACACAUGCAAGUCGCACGAGAACGCUCUAGCUUGCUAGAGCUAGUAAAGUGGCGCACGGGUGAGUAACGCGUGGGUAAUCCACCCCUGGGUGGGGGAUAACGUUCCGAAAGGGACGCUAAUACCGGAUAAGACCACAGUGUCUGCGGUCACAGAGGUCAAAGUGGGCCUCUUCAUGAAAGCUCACACCUGGGGACGAGCCCGCGUCCCAUUAGCUUGUUGGUGAGGUAACGGCUCACCAAGGCCACGAUGGGUAGCUGGUCUGAGAGGAUGAUCAGUCACACUGGGACUGGAACACGGCCCAGACUCCUACGGGAGGCAGCAGUGAGGAAUCUUGCGCAAUGGGGGAAACCCUGACGCAGCCACGCCGCGUGGGUGAUGAAGGCCUUCGGGUCGUAAAGCCCUGUCAGGUGGGAAGAACCGCAAUUUGGCUAAUAUCCUGAUUGCCUGACGGUACCACCAAAGGAAGCACCGGCUAACUCCGUGCCAGCAGCCGCGGUAAUACGGAGGGUGCAAGCGUUGUUCGGAAUUACUGGGCGUAAAGCGUGUGUAGGCGGCCAGAUAAGUCUGAUGUGAAAUCCCUGGGCUCAACUGAGGAACUGCAUCCGAUACUGUCUGGCUUGAGUCUCGGAGAGGGUUGUGGAAUUCCCGGUGUAGAGGUGAAAUUCGUAGAUAUCGGGAGGAACACCAGUGGCGAAGGCGACAACCUGGACGAAGACUGACGCUGAGACACGAAAG
This 741-nucleotide ribosomal RNA is filed under the name uncultured bacterium. Its description in RNAcentral is "bacterial SSU rRNA". It matches the Rfam family "Bacterial small subunit ribosomal RNA", at positions 46 to 759 of the family's 1533-position model. The record is from RNAcentral.